Urocitellus parryii (Arctic ground squirrel) is the source of this 164-nucleotide long non-coding RNA. RefSeq lists it as uncharacterized. The record is from RefSeq and is a predicted model, not a curated record. NCBI's taxonomy places the organism in Eukaryota, Metazoa, Chordata, Mammalia, Rodentia, Sciuridae.
GCCACAUCCCCAGCCCCAUGAUUCAAGCAUUAAUAAAGGAGGUGAGAAGCUUUUUUCACCAUGCUCUCCCUUCCAUGAGCUACCUCGCCACAGACCCAAAGCAACAAGGCCAAUUGAUCAUGGAAACCUCCAAAACUUUCUUGGCGGACACAACAUCUUUGUUG